This is a small nucleolar RNA of Pseudoliparis swirei, 75 nucleotides long. RefSeq annotates it as small nucleolar RNA SNORD2. NCBI's taxonomy places the organism in Eukaryota, Metazoa, Chordata, Actinopteri, Perciformes, Liparidae. The transcript has a single exon. The record is from RefSeq and is a predicted model, not a curated record.
GAGUGAAGUGAUGCUUUACCAUCUUUCGGGACUUACCCAAUUAUGGGGAUACUUUUAUUUUCUUACUGAUCACUC